GCGAGUCGCGAGAAUUAGAUUCUCGGCGUACCGCUCAGUAACACGUGGGCAUUCUGCCCUAUGCUGGAUAAUAACCUCGGGAAACUGAGAAUAAUGAUCCAUAGUUCACUACGCCUGGAACGGUGAGUGGAUGAAAGCUCCGGCGGCAUAGGAUGGGCCUGCGGCGUAUCAGGUUGUAGGGGGUGUAACGUACCCUCUAGCCCUCUACGCGUACGGGUGUUGGGAGACAUAGCCCGGAGAUGGAUUCUGAGACACGAAUCCAGACCCUACGGGGUGCAGCAGGCGCGAAAACUUGGCAAUGCGAGAAAUCGUGACCAGGGAACUCCAAGUGCAUCGGGUAAGACCGGUGCUUUUCUUGACUCUAAAUAGGUCUUGGAAUAAGGGGUGGGUAAGGACGGUGCCAGCCGCCGCGGUAAUACCGGCGCCUCAAGUGGUAGUCGCUUUUAUUGGGCCUAAAACGUCCGUAGCCGGUCUGAUACAUUCGUGGGUAAAUCAACCAGCUCAACUGGUUGAAUUCUGCGAGGACGGUCAGACUUGGGACCGGGAGAGGUGUGGGGUACGCUCAGGGUAGGGGUAAAAUCCUGUCAUCCUGAGCGGACCACCUGUUGCGAAGGCGCCACACUAGAACGGAUCCGACGGUCAGGGACGAAGCCUAGGGGCACGAACCGGAUUAGAUACCCGGGUAGUCCUAGGUGUAAACGCUGUGGACUUGAUGUUGGGGGUGCUCCGAGCACUCUCAGUG
RNAcentral lists this ribosomal RNA (742 nucleotides) under uncultured archaeon. RNAcentral describes it as "bacterial SSU rRNA". It matches the Rfam family "Archaeal small subunit ribosomal RNA", at positions 53 to 800 of the family's 1478-position model. The record is from RNAcentral.